This 632-nucleotide long non-coding RNA is filed under the name Homo sapiens (human). RNAcentral describes it as "HSALNT0049520". Lineage: Eukaryota; Metazoa; Chordata; Mammalia; Primates; Hominidae. The record is from RNAcentral.
GGAGCCCACCCUGGUUUCAUUCCUAAGCUGGCCUGCUCUUCCCAGGGUGUGUUUCGUCAGCUGCAUCUCCGAACAGCAGUAACUGCUGCCGUGUCGAGGCACUUCCCUCAGCCAUCCUGGAGACACAUGAAGACGUGCCCGCUUCCCCUUUGCUUUCUGCCAUGAUUGUAAGUUUCCUGAGGCGUCCCCAGCCCUGCAGAACUGUGAGUAAUUUAAACCUCUUUCCUUUAUAAAUUACCCAGUCUCAGGCAGUUCUUCAUAGCAGCAUGAGAAUGGAAUAAAACAGUAAAUUGAUACUGGGUAGUGGGGCGCUGCUAUAAAGAUACUAAAAAACGUGGAAGUGACUUUGGAACUGGGUAACAGGCAGAGGUUGGAACAGUUUGGAGGGCUCAGAAGAAGACAGGAAGAUGUCUUCCAGGAAAGUUGGAACUUCCUAGAGACUUGUUUAAUGGUUUUGACCAAAAUGCUGAUAGUGAUGUGGACAAUGAAGUCCUGGCUGAGGUGGUCUCAGAUGGAGAUGAAGAACUUUUUGGGAACUGGAAUAAAGGUGACUCUUGCUACAUUUUAGCAAAGAGACUGGCAGUAUUUUGCCCUUGCCCUAAAGAUCUGUGGAAUUUUGAACUUGAGAGAGA